AUCUUUAUCCUUUGCCAACUGGCCAUUGUUUGAUGCUCAGGACCUAUAUACAAAAACUAAAUCCUCAAACUCUUAGCAAUCCCUAGAUCACCUGAUCAGCAAGUAUCAAUAGCCUGGACUUAAAUGGGAGUGAAUGUCCCUUAUUUAUCACAUCAUAAAAUCUUUAUCCCUUCUCCCAGACUAGUCUCCCUGUUGUUAAUUUUAAGAAUAGAUUCAAACAGAAAUUACAUUCAGAGCCCUGUCCCAGCUACACAUUGUGUCUGGAUACAAGGUCAAAAUAAUUGUGUUCCUGUGAAUUCUCUCUUUGCUUGGCCACAGUAACUGCCAGUUGCCAUGCAAUAAAUCACAUCAUCAUAUAACAGAUCCAGUUAAUAGCUGAGAAUAGUAGGAUAACUGAAUUAUGUCUUGAGGGCUAAAUGAUGGAGAAAUUGGACUGACCAUGGAGCACUUCAAAUUGAUGGCUUAGUAAUGGUGUAUUUUUCCUGGAAAGAACCGGAUAAUUCUGAACUAUUGAUUUUGUCAAGGGUACAAGCUCCCAUGUAGAAGAAAAUAAAGCAAGUGUGAUGAACUUUUCAUUUGGCUUUCAGCCUGGCUUUCUUGCUUUUUGCCUUGCAUUUCAUGCCUAUAUUUUUAUUCUUUAAACCCUGACUAGAUGAUCCAGCAAUAUUGGCCAUGUGGCAUAAAAUCCACAAUCUUAAUCUUCUUAUUACCAAAAUCUCAGCAAAUAUGAGGUGGCCAACAGCUCUUAUGAGACAAUGCCCUAAAUCUUACCUUAGGUUUCAAUCAGUUUAGGAAACAUGAAAAAUUUGGUAAGGAGACAGCAAUACACUCUCUGUAAAGAUUUCAGAGGUCAGGAUUCAGAAGACUAUACAUACAAACUGAAUACUGACAAUCAAGUGUUUUCUGAAUUAUUCAUCCUCUGGGACUGUUAUGUAAAGUAGAGACUUUGCAAACACAUUGUGCUGCAGUGCAUUUUGAGACAUGCCAUUUUUGGAAAGUGCUAACUUUGUACACUGCUGACACUAAACAUUUGAAAAUAAAACCUUUUUUUCUCUCUUUCUCUCUCUCCUCUACUUUUGGCUCAGUUUAUCCUAUCAAAACAUACUUCAAAAGACUUUUUAUAGAAAGAAUGUUUCAAAAAUAUAAUAUUUCCAACUGUUAUUUUAAUAAUACAUGCUCUGGGACUCUCUUUAUGAACCAUUUUCCUUUCUUUGCUCCCAUUUAGAUGUAUAAAUAUUUCAUUCGAAAGCCCUAAGGAAUAGUCAGCCAAUCAGGUUGCUGAACUGUGAACAUUCCUAACCCUAUAAUUUUGUCUGUAGCAGGCACCUCCUGCUGUGGAACUAACUGCUAAGGGAUAUAGCAAUGUAAUCCUCAGACUGCUCCAUCUCAAGCUUGCUCUGAAGUGGAGAGAGGGAAGUAGUUUUAAUUUUGAUAAAAUAAACUUUAUUUUGUAACUUUAUUAUUUGUUUUUCUUUCUCCUUUCAACACUUCAUAAUAGACGUGUCUGGUAACUUGAAGUCAGUCUCCCCUGCUAAAGUGCCCUAGGCCACCCCAUAUUCUUAUAGCUUUUAAAAAGGUAGCCACACAAUGUUUGGUCCUGUCAUUCCACAAUUCAGAACCCAAGUCUCUUCUACCUUCUGUGAACCAAACCAAGCCAUAUCUGACUCUUACUAAACAUAUUCAAAUGGUGAUUUCCCAAUGGGUGGCAAUAGGAGAAGCAUGAGCACUCUCAUGUCACCUAGAUGACAUGGAGUUCUUAAAACCAUGUGCAAAAUUUUAAGUACCUUUCUAGUUGUUAGACUUUGCAUACCAGACCUCUACUUCAGCAAUUAUUGGAGCAUUUAAUGUUACAACAUGAAUUUCAUGGGAACUCCCGCUUUGAUAUAAACUCAAACAUGUUGCUAGGAAUAAAAAAUCUUUAUGGAUAAAAUUUAAUAUAUUUUGAAUCAAGCUCAAAGAGAUCUUUUGUUGUGUGUGAAAAAUAAAAUAAAAAUUCCCUUUAUAAAAUUUUAUGGCUAGAUGGAUAGGGAAAAAUAUUUUCCAGGAUAAAAAUAUUUUCUCAUUUCUUCUUAAAUUAGGAAAGUACAAAGUUAUAUGUAUGCACAUAAAAUUAAGGCUAAUUAUUAGCAUGCAAAUAGCCAAAGUUUUCAGGAGACAAUAGGACAAAAAUGUGGCAGAACUUUUAAAAUAUUUAUAAUUGACCAAGGAAUUAUGCCAUUAUAAGCCUAUUCAGGAAAAAAAUCAGGUAUAUAUCCAAAAAUGUUGAUCACUGCAUUAUUUCAAAGAGUGAAAAGUGUAAGUAGUUUAAAUUUAAAAGAAAAAAAUCCAUUUAGCAAUCUGAAAAAGAAAUCUCAUAUAUUUAGUUUCACUUUAAAAAGAUCAUUUCUAAGUAUUAAUUUGAGUAUUGUCAUCCUUUAAGUUAGUGAGCUUAAAACUAUAUUAAAAAGUGCUUACUGCAAUUAGAUAUAAUAGACUUUAGGGUGACAAUAUAUACAGCAGUUGUUAACUUUCACUUCUAGUAAUGAAAUACAGCUUAUAUGUGACCAACAUUCCAACAGUAGCAACUUGAAAAGCUGGUUAAAUUGGAAAAAAAACCUUUUUUUGGCCACACCAGCAGCAUAUGGAAGUUCCCGGGCCAGGGAUGGAAUAUGAGCCGCAACUGUGACCUAGGCCCCAGCUGCAUCAAUGCCAGAUCCUUAACCCACUUUGUUGGGCCAGGGAUCAACCCCAUGCCUCAGCAGCAGCCUAAGAUGCUGCAUAGACAGUGUUGGAUUCUUAACCCCUUAUGCCACAGUGGCAACUCCUAAAAUUUUUUAUGGCACUGGAAAGCUAUAAAGCAACAAAUAAUUGAGGGUUCAAGAACUUCAAAAUAAAAGAAAACUAGAGAAAUGAGCCUAAUAUUUGGUGUUGGUUUUCCCAUCAAGUUAUCUCCCAAUUUAAAAGCAGCCAAGAAAAUAAUAAACUGAGGGAAGCUUUCAGCAGUUUUAUGGAAUUGAAGGAACAAAAAUUAGAUUUGGAGACUGUGAAGGUGUUCAGUAUUUGGUAAAUAAAAAGCUUCCAUUUGGGACCCCUCAAGGUCCGCAAACUAAGAGUAAGAAUGAACAAAAUCAACCCUAACAGAGACUGAAACAAACUCUAGAGUCAGUUUAAUCCCAGGUUAAUAUAAAGUGAUCUGUGUAGGCCAAUGGCCAACCAAAAGCAAAGUAAAUGCUCUGUGCAGGGGGAUAACACUAUCAAAACCUCCAACUACCUUUAAAAUGUCCCAUACUUAAGGCUGGCAUUGAAUAAAAUAAUAGACAUUCCAGUAAGCAAGACCAAAUGAUCAAAAAUAAAGAGAAAAAAAAAACAAAACACUCAAGGAGAAAAAUUUAAAAGACCUGUAGGAAAAACAUUUAUUAGAGUUAUGAGACAUGAGUUUUAAAUAAACUAUGACUAUCACUGCUUGAAAGCAGAUGAUGCCUAGUACCCAGAAAAGAGCAGCCUUUGCUUUUAUUUUCAUCAUUAUCUGAUCAUAAAUAAAAUUGACAUGUUUUAAAAAAAUAAAAAUAGGAGUUCCCGUCAUGGUGCAGUGGAAACAAAUCCAACUAGGAACCAUGAGGUUUCAGGUUUGACCCCUGGCCUUGCUCAGUAGGUUAAGGAUCCAUGUUGCCGUGAGCUGUGGUGUAGGUUGCAAAUGCAGCUUGGAUCUGGUGUUGCUAUGCCUGUGGUGUUAGCUUGCAACUGUAGCUCAGAUUCGACCCCUAGCCCGGGAACCUCCAUAUGCUGUGGGUGGGCCCUAAAACAAACAAACAAACAAAAAUUUUAAUAAUUAAAUAAAAUAAAAUAAAUAAAUAACUAUGACUAAUCUUUUCAAGAAGACACAGGACAAGAUAAAAAGAUUUAGCAGAUAACUGCAAUCUAUACAAAUAAUUAAAUUGGAAUUCUAAAAUAAAAAGUAAAAUAAAUAAAUUUUAAAGAUCAAUAAACAGGUUUAAGACCAGAUUAGAUAUAGUCAAGAUAAUAUUAGUGAACUGGAAGAUAAGGCAGUAAAAAAAAAUCUAGAAUAAAGUAUAUAGAGAAAAAGUAAAAUACAGAGGAUAAGAAACAUAUAGAACAUAGAAAGAAUGGUAAAAUAUAAUAGCAGUCCUAGAUGAAGAAAGAGAUGAGGUACAAAUGAUAUUUGAAGAGACAAUGGUUGACAAUUUUCCAAAACUGCUGGAAAAUCACAAGGCACAGAUUCAAGUAAUGCUAUGAAUGACUAGUAAGAAAAUAAGAAAAUGACACCAAGGAACACUAUAAUAAAUCUACUAAAAACCAAAGAAAAAGAGAAAAAUCUUAAAAGCAGCCAGAUAAAAAAUAUUUUGUGAGUUCCCGCUGUGGCACAGUGGGUUAAUGAUUCAGCUUGUCUCUGGAAGUACCCGCCUGGUACAGGAUCUGGUGUUGCUGAAGCUGUGGUGUAGGCCACAGCUGUGGCUCGGAUUUGAUCCCUGUCCCUGGAACUUCCAUAUGUCAUGGCUGCAGCAAGAAGAAAAAAAAUUUUUUUCAAAGAAGAAACAAGGAGAAUAACAAUUGAUGUCUCAGUCAAAAUAAUGGAAUCCAAUAAAUAAUGGAAAUCGUAUUGAAAUACAUGAAGGAAAGGAAUUUUUUAUUUCAAAUUUUGUACCUCAAAAAUUAUCUUUCAAAAUUAAAGCAAAAGAAAGAAAUUUAAAAACAAUCAAAUACUUAGAUUCUUCAUCAAAACUUCACUAAAAGAGAUUGUAAUGGGAAUUAUCCAUGCAGAAUAAAAAUGAUCUUAGAUAGAAGCAUGGAAAUGCAAGAAGAAAUAAAAAGAAGUUAAAAUAGGAUAAAGAGAAAUGGAAAGGGCAGAUAUUUAACUAAAUAAAUAAUAACAUGGGGAUUAUGAUAUCUUGUCAUGAUAAGGGAUACAUAUAAAUCAAAACAUAUGCCUCCAGAAGCAAAAAAAAAAAAAAAAAAAAAAAAAAAAAAAAAGGAUAGGAGUAAAGGAAUUAAAGUUUCAAGGUACUUGCAUGUGUAGAAAAUGUCAAAGUAUUAAUUUCUAUCAGCCUUUUGUAAGUCAAGGAUGUAUGUUGUACAUGUCCAAAUUAACCGCUAAAAAUAAUGGAAGAAUAAAUAAUG
This 5115-nucleotide long non-coding RNA is filed under the name Sus scrofa (pig). RNAcentral describes it as "lncRNA (ENSSSCG00000057556.1)". Lineage: Eukaryota; Metazoa; Chordata; Mammalia; Artiodactyla; Suidae. The record is from RNAcentral.